AAGAAACCGUUUAUCCCAGAAGACAAAAUACAGAAAAGUGGGAAGAAAAUGGCGUUAAUGAAGCAGACAAAGUCAACAAAGUGGUAUGGAUAGACAGAUAAUAGAAGGUAUAUUAUGAGUUAAAGCAAACGAUAAAAGCUACGUGAGAGGGAAAAAGAUGAACACGAUGACAGCAGACAACAAAAUUUAAGAGACGAAACGAAACCUUUGAUAACAUCAUCCCUUGCUCCUUUGACCUAUGUAGUGGUGACACAAAACAUGGUCACUAUGUUUCAACCAUUCACUUUGUUAUUAACAAGCAUAUGCAUCAUCUACCACCAACACAUCAAUUCCAUGCUUAUCUCCUUUCUCAUUACCACAUUUAUCGUUUAAUUCUCUCUCGUGUAACACAAAGGAUAUAUAUCACCGCCGUCGACA
This 417-nucleotide long non-coding RNA is filed under the name Vigna radiata. RNAcentral describes it as "long non-coding RNA (VRAD_LNC000305)". The record is from RNAcentral. Lineage: Eukaryota; Viridiplantae; Streptophyta; Magnoliopsida; Fabales; Fabaceae.